This 788-nucleotide long non-coding RNA is filed under the name Pogona vitticeps (central bearded dragon). RNAcentral describes it as "lncRNA (ENSPVIG00000023884.1)". Lineage: Eukaryota; Metazoa; Chordata; Lepidosauria; Squamata; Agamidae. The record is from RNAcentral.
GUUUGUUUCAACAACAACAACAACAACAACAAAAAUACCAUAAUUUCUCUCUCCCCCCCUUUAGCAAACAUGCACCUGCUCUGCUUUCCCUCUUAAGGUGGGGGAUUCUUGUCAGUUCCUUUCCAUUCCCCAAAUGAGCUGUGAGAUCCACAUUCAAAUUUGCAGCUGACAGUUUAGGGUUAAGAUAUAAUUCCAGGUAACAGAAGCCAAUGAGAGUAUACCCCGUUGAUGUUUGUGACAUCAUCCUACAGUCGGAGUACACAGAACAGCUGAGGUAGCCUUCAGCCUCAGUACCAGUUGCCAUUAUGAUGGAUGUUUACAUCUCUUCAUUGAGAGCCAAUUAUUUUGCUUUUGUGUGAGGCCCAAGAAUCGCUCAUGCUGCCGGCAUUCACAGAGCCUGUUGGAUGUAGCUGAACGAAUUGUUUUCUCUCCUCCUGUGAAAAAUCAUGGGAAGAAUGUGUAAGCCACCAAAUCUGCAGGAAACUCAAAUGCAUGAUUCUUCAAAGUCAUAACAGUUCAACCAAUGAUUAGCCUAUGUUUACUGCUCUGAAGUCAACUUAAAUGGAGCUUACUACUAGGAGAAGUCUGGCUCUGAGGAGAGAGAAGUUACACAGAAUGUAAGUGCUUUGUAUGAAAUUCUCCCAUUGUGUGAAACCUCAGUGAUACAUAUGAUGAACAUUUCUUGAUGUUUAUUGAUAUAGUGAAGAACUGGUUUCAUCGUGGAUUUAACAACUGUGGGUCAAUGGGAAACGCACAUGGAAGCAGUAGGAGCUGAGGAGCAGAAGGGG